CGUGCAGAGAGUGUGUCUACCGGACAGAGAUGUGCAGCCUUCGUGGUGCUCAAGCCGUCCUGAUGGUUCAGUCGUUGUGGACCUUUAACUCAGUGCCUUGAAAUGGCUCAGUCGUUGUGGACCUGUAACUCAGUGUCUUGAAAUAUGCAGAGCCCUCUCCGAUCACCUCUCCGUCGUUGCCUGACGUGCGCCUCCCAUCCGUCGAAAUGAAGGAGGGCCCACAGAGACCGAAGGGCUGUGAUUGGUCCAACCCACAGAGACCGAAGGGCUGUGAUUGGUCCAACCCACGGAGACCGAAGGGCUGUGAUUGGUCCAACCCAUGCUGUUUACCUUAUGGUUCAGUCGUUGUGGACCUUUACCAGUGUCUUGAAAAAACCAUAUUGUUGCAUGGAGCAAAGCUGAUUGGCCAGUUGGAACAGGAAGUUGGGAAACACUAGUUUAAAUCUGUCUCUCUGUUUGUAAUGUGUAAUACAUUCUGUAAUUAAAUGUAAUAAAUCUCUAAAUGAUCAAAA
Molecule: long non-coding RNA, 512 nt
Organism: Clupea harengus (Atlantic herring)
Lineage: Eukaryota; Metazoa; Chordata; Actinopteri; Clupeiformes; Clupeidae
Exons: 6
Source: RefSeq, a predicted model, not a curated record